UUUUAUUGUCCAUGUUGGGAAUUGAAGCAGUAUCAGGGCUGGCAAGUUCUUGGAUAGGAGACUACCUGGAAAUACCAGAUGCUGUAGACU
RNAcentral lists this ribosomal RNA (90 nucleotides) under Salvator merianae (Argentine black and white tegu). Lineage: Eukaryota; Metazoa; Chordata; Lepidosauria; Squamata; Teiidae. The record is from RNAcentral.